Molecule: ribosomal RNA, 541 nt
Filed under: uncultured Prochlorococcus sp.
Lineage: Bacteria; Bacillati; Cyanobacteriota; Cyanophyceae; Synechococcales; Prochlorococcaceae
Description: bacterial SSU rRNA
Rfam family: Bacterial small subunit ribosomal RNA
Source: RNAcentral
CAAGUCGAACGAACCUUCGGGUUAGUGGCGGACGGGUGAGUAACGCGUGGGAAUCUGCCCUCAGGAGGGGGAUAACGGUUGGAAACGACCGCUAAUACCCCAUAUGCCGAUAGGUGAAAUGAAUUUCGCCUGAGGAUGAGCCCGCGUCUGAUUAGCUAGUUGGUAAGGUAAAGGCUUACCAAGGCUUCGAUCAGUAGCUGGUCUGAGAGGAUGAUCAGCCACACUGGGACUGAGACACGGCCCAGACUCCUACGGGAGGCAGCAGUGGGGAAUUUUCCGCAAUGGGCGAAAGCCUGACGGAGCAACGCCGCGUGAGGGACGAAGGCCUCUGGGCUGUAAACCUCUUUUCUCAAGGAAGAAGAUAUGACGGUACUUGAGGAAUAAGCCACGGCUAAUUCCGUGCCAGCAGCCGCGGUAAUACGGGAGUGGCAAGCGUUAUCCGGAAUUAUUGGGCGUAAAGCGUCCGCAGGCGGCCUUUCAAGUCUGCUGUUAAAGCGUGGAGCUUAACUCCAUUAUGGCAGUGGAAACUGAUAGGCUUGAG